AUGCUAGUGGGAAAAAGAUACUGCUUGGAUUUAAAUUUUGACUCCAUGUUCUUAUCUCAGUAUGGAUUUCUCACUGUACAUUUGCCUCCCUGUCCCUUUCCAGAUGAGCUAAGUCACUUGGUUGCUGCUACUGACCUGGCUACUGGUCUGCUUUCCAUCUUUGUGCUGAGGUUCAUGAAGCUAUAGAAUGUCAAUGACACUUUUUAAGGCGCACUAUGAUACUGUCACAGCACGUUUCUAAAAGUACCAGUGGUACUUCAUCCAGAUGUCCAAUUCCUCCAGCUGUAAGGUAUGGUUUUCCAUUUGCUCUGGUCUGAAUGUUUGUGUUUCCUGCAAAAUAAGUAUGUUGAAAUCUUAACCCCGAAGGUGAUGGCAUUAGGAGGUAGGACCUUUGGGAGGUGAUUAGGUCAUGGGAGUGGAGCCCUCAUGGAUGGGAUUAGUGCCCUCAUAAAAGAUGAAGCGAGAUCUCUCCCCCCUUUCACCAUGUGAUGAAACAGUGAGAAGGCACCAUCCAUGAAAAAGAAAGUGAGCCUUCACCAGGCACUGAAUCUGCUGGCACCUUGCUCUCGCACUUCUCAGCCUCCAGAACUGUGAGAAAUCAAUUUCUGUUGUUUAUAAGCCACGCAGUUAAGGGUAUCAUAGCAGCCCAAAUGCACUAAGACGCACCUGUUACCAGCUGACAGUCAUCCCAGAUGGAUUUGGAACAUUUCUCCUGUCUGAUUUUACUUGAGGCAAGUUUCUGACAAUCUUAAUUUAGAGCCCAUUAGAGAGGACUGCAGCAGGUGUUUCUGCUCCUAUCUGCCUAAGAAUUCCCCACACCAGCCAAAUUGGCUUUUGAUGUGUUUAUGCAAAGAUGGCUUGGAGUAAUAUAUUACAACAUUAUAGAGAAGGGAAAGGAAUUUGGGCUAAGAAACUGCAAAUCAAACUGAAACAAGGAAGAUAUUAUUUUGUUAGUAGUGAAGAGAAAAAGUGAUGUUAACUUUUUUUUUUUUUUUUUUUUUUUUGAACGAGUCUAGCUUGUUCAGGCUGGAGGCAUGGCAGAUCUCAGCUCACUGCAAGCUUG
This 1063-nucleotide long non-coding RNA is filed under the name Macaca mulatta (Rhesus monkey). Its description in RNAcentral is "lncRNA (ENSMMUG00000056656.1)". The record is from RNAcentral. Lineage: Eukaryota; Metazoa; Chordata; Mammalia; Primates; Cercopithecidae.